This 360-nucleotide small RNA is filed under the name Deltaproteobacteria bacterium. RNAcentral describes it as "transfer-messenger RNA". It matches the Rfam family "transfer-messenger RNA". From Rfam's summary of the family: Bacterial tmRNA, also known as 10Sa RNA or SsrA, is named for its dual tRNA and mRNA-like properties. Its role is to liberate the mRNA from a stalled ribosome. To accomplish this part of the tmRNA is used as a reading frame that ends in a translation stop signal. Lineage: Bacteria; Pseudomonadati; Myxococcota; Myxococcia. The record is from RNAcentral.
GGGGGCGUACUGGCUUCGACGGAGAGACCGAGAUCCGAGGCGCAUGCCGAGGUCCCGUGGGCUCGUAAAACACGCGGGAAAUUGUCAACUGCCAACGACAACUACGCUCUCGCUGCUUAACUAACCCUUAAGCCAGUGAGUGUCCCUGCCGAGGACGCCUGCUAAUCGGUAGGGGCACAACGCUAGCAGGCUGGUGGCGUGACGAUGCCUACCCGUCGCGCCAUGAGAGGCAGGUGGGCUAGCCUCGAGGGAAUCCUGUCCGGGGGAGUUCCUCGCGGCGAAUUCAAACCCGGAAGAAGCAUGUGGUGCCUCGCGAUUAAAGCUUUUCGGACGCGGGUUCGAUUCCCGCCGCCUCCACCA